UGUAUAUGAUGAAUUAAUUAUUCACCAUCUUUCGACUGAUCAUUGUGAUGGUAAAUUAUUUUACUGAGAGCCUUU
Molecule: small nucleolar RNA, 75 nt
Organism: Osmia bicornis bicornis
Lineage: Eukaryota; Metazoa; Arthropoda; Insecta; Hymenoptera; Megachilidae
Source: RefSeq, a predicted model, not a curated record